GUAGGUGGUUUGUUGCGUNGUCUGUGAAAUUCCGGGGCUUAACUUCGGGGUGGCAGGCGAUACGGGCAUAACUAGAGUGCUGUAGGGGAGACUGGAAUUCCUGGUGUAGCGGUGGAAUGCGCAGAUNUCAGGAGGAACACCGAUGGCGAAGGCAGGUCUCUGGGCAGUAACUGACGCUGAGGAGCGAAAGCAUGGGGAGCGAACAGGAUUAGAUACCCUGGUAGUCCAUGCUGUAAACGGUGGGCGUUAGGUGUGGGGACCGGUUUGGUUUCUGUGCCGUAGCUAACGCAUUAAGCGCCCCGCCUGGGGAGUACGGCCGCAAGGCUAAAACUCAAAGGAAUUGACGGGGGCCCGCACAAGCGGCGGAGCAUGUGAAUUAAUUCGAUGCAACGCGAAGAACCUUACCUGGGUUUGACAUGCACCAGACGGUUGUAGAGAUACGUACCACCCUUUGUGGUUGGUGUGCAGGUGGUGCAUGGUUGUCGUCAGCUCGUGUCGUGAGAUGUUGGGUUAAGUCCCGCAACGAGCGCAACCCUUGUCUUAUGUUGCCAGCACGUUUAGGGUGGGGACUCAUGAGAGACUGCCGGGGUUAACUCGGAGGAAGGUGGGGAUGACGUCAAAUCAUCAUGCCCUUUAUGCCCAGGGCUUCACACAUGCUACAAUGGUUAGUACAACGCGCUGCGAACCUGUGAGGGUGAGCGAAUCGCUGAAAGCUAAUCUCAGUUCGGAUUGGGGUCUGCAACUCGACCCCAUGAAGUCGGAGUCGCUAGUAAUCGCAGAUCAGCAAUGCUGCGGUGAAUACGUUCCCGGGCCUUGUACACACCGCCCGUCACGUCAUGAAAGUUGGUAACACCCGAAGCCCAUGGCCUAACCACCGUUUGGUGGGGGGAGUGGUC
This 896-nucleotide ribosomal RNA is filed under the name uncultured bacterium. RNAcentral describes it as "bacterial SSU rRNA". It matches the Rfam family "Bacterial small subunit ribosomal RNA", at positions 571 to 1457 of the family's 1533-position model. The record is from RNAcentral.